Molecule: ribosomal RNA, 484 nt
Filed under: uncultured bacterium
Lineage: Bacteria
Description: partial 16S ribosomal RNA
Rfam family: Bacterial small subunit ribosomal RNA
Source: RNAcentral
AUUGAACGCUGGCGGCAUGCUUUACACAUGCAAGUCGAACGGCAGCACGGGCUUCGGCCUGGUGUCGAGUGGCGGACGGGUGAGUAAUAUAUCGGAACGUACCCAGAAGUGGGGGAUAACGUAGCGAAAGGUACGCUAAUACCGCAUACGAUCUGUGGAUGAAAGCAGGGGACCGCAAGGCCUUACGCUCCUAGAUGAGCCGAUAUCUGAUUAGCUAGUUGGUGAGGUAAAGGCUCACCAAGGCGACGAUCAGUAGCUGGUCUGAGAGGACGAUCAGCCACACUGGAACUGAGACACGGUCCAGACUCCUACGGGAGGCAGCAGUGGGGAAUUUUGGACAAUGGGCGAAAGCCUGAUCCAGCAAUGCCGCGUGAGUGAAGAAGGUCUUCGGAUUGUAAAGCUCUUUUGUCAGGGAAGAAACGGUAGAAGCUAAUAUCUUUUGCUAAUGACGGUACCUGAAGAAUAAGCACCGGCUAACUACGUG